AACUGAUUUCUCUGAUCCUGUAUAUUUUAUUUUAUGCAUUUAAGUACAUUUUUUCUGGGAAAAGGUUCAUAAGUUUCAUUGAAUUUCCAAAGGGGUCUAGUCCAGGAUAUAAAAAUGAUCAAGAACUCCUGCUUUAAAGCGAGAAGAUAACAGAGGAAACCAAAUCAGCAUACUCCUUUAGAAACAUUCCUAGGACUAAAGAAAACAACACCAGUUGCAGAAUGUUUAUCUGUUCUACAUUGACUUGAUCUAAAGAAUUAAGAAAACUCCAAUGAAGAGCUGACACCUGACUUGGGCAUUAAAGGAUCUACCAAAGAAGCUUCCUUUUGGGGAUGGGAAGAUGGGCAUAAAGCUGGUCAGCCUAUUCCAGUCCAGAGCCUGCACACCUUGGACUCUUCCAUUGACUGAGGGAGCAGUCAUCUUCCAAAUUUCUUUAGAAAUGUAGGGAAGCCACUGGAGAACUCUUCUGAGAGUUCUUCCUCUGGAUGUGGAUAGUGUUCUUUCUCAUAAGUCCCUCAGAACUGUCCUGGAUCAUUGCAUUGCUGCUAGUGAAGAAGAGUUGAUUGUACCACAGUAUAUUAGUCUCUGUGUAUAAUGUUCUCCUGGUUCUGCUCUUUUCACUCUGCAUCAAUUCCUGGACAGGUUUACAUUUUGAUUGGAUGCAAGUUGCAUUUCUCCUUUAAUUCAUUUCCUUCACUAACUUCUUGAAAUUUCUGUAAGGCUGUCAUUAAAAUGUUUCCUCGUUUGCAGACUUUUUCAUAUUAUUCUAUGAACAUUUUGACUAGUCAAUAUUUCUUUGGGACUCUUGGGACUUUGGUUAUUGUAUCAUGAGGUGAUGAAUGAAAUUGUGACAUUGUCUUUGAAACAAGUAUGAAAGACUCAUCCAAAUAAAUUUUCACAAAAAAUUUUA
Molecule: non-coding RNA, 910 nt
Organism: Monodelphis domestica (gray short-tailed opossum)
Lineage: Eukaryota; Metazoa; Chordata; Mammalia; Didelphimorphia; Didelphidae
Source: RefSeq, a predicted model, not a curated record